This 634-nucleotide ribosomal RNA is filed under the name Pyrostria pendula. RNAcentral's name for it is "eukaryotic LSU rRNA". The stretch from base 264 to 419 matches the Rfam family "5.8S ribosomal RNA". Lineage: Eukaryota; Viridiplantae; Streptophyta; Magnoliopsida; Gentianales; Rubiaceae. The record is from RNAcentral.
UCGAAACCUGAAACGGACGACCGCGAACACGUUGUAACUGCCGUGCCGUGGGGAAGGCGCGCGGAGACUGAACCCUCCUCGUCGUCCUCCCCCCGGCGCGCCCCGUCGUCCGUGCGGGCGCGAAAGCUCUCGCUCGGGCUCGGGCGAACACUCAACCCCGGCGCGGAAAGCGCCAAGGAAAACUCAAAACGAUUGCCCUCCCCCCGACUGUCCCGUGCGCGGAGCGCAGGAGGGGGCGCAGCGGCAUCCGUCGUAACCAAAACGACUCUCGGCAACGGAUAUCUCGGCUCUCGCAUCGAUGAAGAACGUAGCGAAAUGCGAUACUUGGUGUGAAUUGCAGAAUCCCGCGAACCAUCGAGUCUUUGAACGCAAGUUGCGCCCGAAGCCAUUAGGCCGAGGGCACGUCUGCCUGGGCGUCACGCAUCGCGUCGCUACCCCCCUCGUGCGGGGCGGCGGAUGUUGGCCUCCCGUGCCCGAAGGGUGCGGCCGGCCUAAAUGCGAGUCCUUCGGCGAGGGCGUCACGACUAGUGGUGGUUGAAUUCCUCAACUCGAGUCCUUGUCGUGCCGUGCUCCCCCGUCGUUCCACGGACUAAGUUGACCCCUCGUGCGCGCGCCUUGAAAGCGAGCCUCGACC